RNAcentral lists this long non-coding RNA (943 nucleotides) under Pan troglodytes (chimpanzee). RNAcentral's name for it is "long non-coding RNA NONPTRT016285". Lineage: Eukaryota; Metazoa; Chordata; Mammalia; Primates; Hominidae. The record is from RNAcentral.
GCGGGAGGCCACAGGUGAAGCGAAGGGUGUGUCUUACUUCAGCGGCCCUAUUCAAAGGAAAAAACAUGAAAAUUAAAAUCAAGUUACAAUUUUGUAUUGGCAUAAAACAUAUCAGCAAAUAAGAUGUCUGAAAAGGAGGGUAUGUCAGAAGAGCUAGAGGAUACUAUUAGUCAAUUUAGGAAAGAAUCUAGAUCACGGUCAAUGAAGGAGCCUGGCUUUAUUAAAGAAACAUCAAAUUUGAUAAACGAAGCUUCUGAUUACCUGGAAGGGAAAUCUUUUAACCAGAUUUAUGAAACACAUCCUAGACAGAAUACAUUAGAGUCAACAUCUUCCUCUGGAAGGAAGUCUAAGAGAAAUGAAGAACAAAAGAAAAAUCUUCAGUUUUCUGAAACAAGCACUAGAACAGGAACUUCACAGAGUUUAUCAUCACUAACUGGGAGGACUGCAGAAUAUCAGGCUUUGGUUAACUUCCUACCUCAUGAAACAGUAGGAGAAGUUAGUCCACAAGUCUCUGAAGAAAAUCAGAAACAACUUGGCUUAGGGGAAGAUAACUUUACAGUUAACCUUGAGGCCAAGGGUUUACAGGAAUUUCCUAAGGACAUUUUAAAAAUCAAAUAUGUAAAAUAUCUAUAUUUAGACAAGAAUCAAAUCAAAACUUUUCAAGGGGCAGACUCAGGUGAUCUGUUAGGACUUGAAAUUCUAUCCCUGCAAGAAAAUGGAUUAUCAUCACUUCCAUCUGAAAUUCAGUUACUUCAUAAUUUAAGGAUAUUAAAUGUCAGUCAUAACCACAUAUCACAUAUACCUAAAGAAAUAUCUCAGCUUGGGAAUAUCAGACAACUCUUUUUUUAUAACAAUUACAUUGAAAAUUUUCCUACUGACUUAGAAUGUCUUGGAAACUUGGAAAUUUUAAGUUUGGGUAAAAAUAAGUUAAGACAUAUACCAG